Long non-coding RNA from Empidonax traillii (willow flycatcher), 407 nucleotides. RefSeq lists it as uncharacterized. The transcript is spliced from 3 exons. Lineage: Eukaryota; Metazoa; Chordata; Aves; Passeriformes; Tyrannidae. The record is from RefSeq and is a predicted model, not a curated record.
UCCGGUGACAUCACCGCCCCGCCGCGCCGACACCGGCCGGGCGCGGACUGCGCUGCGCUCCGCGCUCGGUGCGGGGAACACCCCGGCCCGGCCUCCUCCUCCUCCUGCUCACCCUCCUCCUCAUCCUCCUCCUCAGCCCUCUCCUCCCCUGGUUGUUAUUUUUCCCCGCUCCGCGCAUCCCGCGCCCCCCCCUCCCCGCGCCCGCGGAGCGCUCGCCCCUCCGCGCCACCCGCAUGACUGUCACCAAGGCUCGAGGAGCACCCACGAUUCCCUGAGCUCCACGUCCGUCCCGGGGUGUCCGGAGCACCCGCCCAGCCCGCGGAGCAGAGCAGGGCAGAGCUCUUGUCGAGUCAAUGAGGGACCUGCACAAGUCUAACGUGCUGGGGAGCAAGCACGGCAGCCUGGUG